Molecule: long non-coding RNA, 353 nt
Filed under: Equus asinus (donkey)
Lineage: Eukaryota; Metazoa; Chordata; Mammalia; Perissodactyla; Equidae
Description: lncRNA (ENSEASG00005034216.1)
Source: RNAcentral
CGGGUACGCGCUCGCUGCGUCGACGUGCUGACGCCAUGACGCCCCGGCCGGUGUGUGUCGGUGUGUGUGUGUGUGAGUGUGCGCACUGCGAGUGUGUGUGUAUUUGUGUAUCGGCGGUCUCGCAGGUCCCGGAUGUUGCGGACAGUAUGAGGCGAGCGCAGGGGGACGGGGACCAGCAGCUGUCGCCACCGCUCUCAGUGAUUUCCUGUUAGACAAGACAAAUUAGAGUCUUCCUACUGACUUUGACUUAACUUGUGCAAGUGGCAUGUAAAGUUAGAAGUCAUAUAAGGUCUCCUCUGGUGACUGCUGUGCAUAGGAUGACUUUACACCAAUGGUGGAGGGGAGAAAAGAUG